RNAcentral lists this ribosomal RNA (484 nucleotides) under uncultured bacterium. RNAcentral's name for it is "partial 16S ribosomal RNA". It matches the Rfam family "Bacterial small subunit ribosomal RNA", at positions 30 to 507 of the family's 1533-position model. The record is from RNAcentral.
AUUGAACGCUGGCGGCAGGCCUAACACAUGCAAGUCGAGCGGAUGAAGGGAGCUUGCUCCUGGAUUCAGCGGCGGACGGGUGAGUAAUGCCUAGGAAUCUGCCUGGUAGUGGGGGAUAACGUCCGGAAACGGGCGCUAAUACCGCAUACGGCCUGAGGGAGAAAGUGGGGGAUCUUCGGACCUCACGCUAUCAGAUGAGCCUAGGUCGGAUUAGCUAGUUGGUGGGGUAAAGGCCUACCAAGGCGACGAUCCGUAACUGGUCUGAGAGGAUGAUCAGUCACACUGGAACUGAGACACGGUCCAGACUCCUACGGGAGGCAGCAGUGGGGAAUAUUGGACAAUGGGCGAAAGCCUGCUCCAGCCAUGCCGCGUGUGUGAAGAAGGUCUUCGGAUUGUAAAGCACUUUAAGUUGGGAGGAAGGGCAGUAAGUUAAUACCUUGCUGUUUUGACGUUACCAACAGAAUAAGCACCGGCUAACUUCGUG